AUGUCACUCUUAUCACCACCACCACCACCACCACCAUUGUUGGUCACACCAUAUGGGUCAACAGGAGGUGGUGAUUCGUCCGUUUCAAUCGACCCUUACGUACCAUUGAUCGUGACUUUGAUCAUCAUUGCCGCCCUCAUGGUUGCCUCUUUGGUUUUUGCAAAUUUAUGUGUUAAGCGUUGGGCAUUCUUCAACAGUUCAUAUGCUACACAGUCAUUCGUGAAGCAAGAAUGUGGCAUGUGCACUCGUGAGGGCACCAUUGAUGUUGCUUAUCCUGUGAUGAAGGGUAAUGUGGAGAAUGUGGCUUCAGAGGAGUUGGUGGAGUCAGAUCCACCACAAAACGAAGAGGAUGACGAGGAUGGUUCUUCCGAAGAAGGUUUUUAA
RNAcentral lists this ribosomal RNA (384 nucleotides) under Triticum aestivum (bread wheat). RNAcentral describes it as "partial small subunit ribosomal RNA". Lineage: Eukaryota; Viridiplantae; Streptophyta; Magnoliopsida; Poales; Poaceae. The record is from RNAcentral.